GAACUGAAGAGUUUGAUCAUGGCUCAGAUUGAACGCUGGCGGCAGGCCUAACACAUGCAAGUCGAGCGGAUGAAGGGAGCUUGCUCCUGGAUUCAGCGGCGGACGGGUGAGUAAUGCCUAGGAAUCUGCCUGGUAGUGGGGGAUAACGUCCGGAAACGGGCGCUAAUACCGCAUACGUCCUGAGGGAGAAAGUGGGGGAUCUUCGGACCUCACGCUAUCAGAUGAGCCUAGGUCGGAUU
This 239-nucleotide ribosomal RNA is filed under the name Pseudomonas aeruginosa. Its description in RNAcentral is "partial 16S ribosomal RNA". It matches the Rfam family "Bacterial small subunit ribosomal RNA", at positions 1 to 242 of the family's 1533-position model. Lineage: Bacteria; Pseudomonadati; Pseudomonadota; Gammaproteobacteria; Pseudomonadales; Pseudomonadaceae. The record is from RNAcentral. RNAcentral also lists the same sequence under 1 other name.